RNA transcript from Camponotus floridanus (Florida carpenter ant), 1337 nucleotides. It is a transcript of the gene named 1-acyl-sn-glycerol-3-phosphate acyltransferase alpha, with no coding region annotated. The record is from RefSeq and is a predicted model, not a curated record. The transcript is spliced from 9 exons. NCBI's taxonomy places the organism in Eukaryota, Metazoa, Arthropoda, Insecta, Hymenoptera, Formicidae.
AAGGCGGGAACUGCCGAAGAUUUACGAGACUUGUCGACUCAUCGUUCGAUGUAUCGUUCGAUGGACCACGUGCCAUCUAUGAUUAUAUUGUUAUAGGUCACUAUAGCGGUAUAGCGAGGUUGCAGUUGUUAGCAUUUGACAGUUGUUUUUGAUCAACCGCAGUGAACGCUACGUGCCUGAACAUCAUGUUAAAGACUGUAUUAUGCGGCAUCUAUACAACAAGCGGAAUUGCCUUGAUAUUUCUCUUUGUGAUGCUUUGUGCCUUGAGCGAGAGAGUGAGAUAUCGAGCGAAGUUCAUCUUCUUCAUAGUAGCGAGCGCACUAGCUGCAGGAUUAUGGAUACCAUUCAUGCUGUUUCGAAUCGGUAGCUGGAAAAAUGCACUAAUGCCAGCCAGAUGUGUAGUAAGAGUUGCGAAGAUCAUUGGAAUCAAAUUUCGUUUUCGUGGUAAAGAGAACAUCCUCAAAGAUUCGGGCUGUGUCGUGCUUAUCAAUCAUCAGAGUUCCCUAGAUCUUUGUGUUUUAGGUGAAUUAUGGUUAGCGAUGGAGAAUUGCACUGUUAUUUCUAAAAAAGAGAUUAUGUACCUUGGACCAUUCGGUCUCGCGACUUGGCUUUGGGGAACAGUAUUUAUCGACAGAAAAAACGUUGAAGAAGCUCAACGAAUUAUUAACGCUACAGCGGAAUCUAUUCGUUUGGCAAAGCGGAGACUUCUUCUAUUUCCCGAAGGACAUCGGCAUUCGGGUAAUUCGUUACUUCCUUUCAAAAAAGGCGCUUUUCAUGUCGCGAUUGAAUCUCAAAUGCCAAUUCAACCCGUCGUUGUGUCAAAAUAUUACUUCUUAGAUGGAAAAUUAAAGAGGUUUUAUUCAGGAACUAGUUAUAUUACAGUUCUACCGCCUAUUCCUACCGCGGGUUUGACCAAAGACGAUCUUCCAAAGCUUAUGGAGCAAGUGUAUGAAAUUAUGAAUAAAACUUUCGUGGAAUCUACUACGGAAUGCCUCGAAGAACAAAUCCAAACUUUAAAGUAAAAAUUUAAUUUAUAUUAUUGAGGUUCUCUCUUUAUUUCUAAGUUCUAUCGUGCAAAACACAUGACAUAUAUUUCCAAUAGAUAUGCAAAAUUGUAGCAUCUCUUGUAAAAUCAUGCGUGUUUUAGAUGAAAAAUGAGGAUAAUUAAUAAAAAAAGACAUGGGAUUUUUAUACUUGUCAGCGGAGAUGUAAUUACAAUGAAAUGGACAAGAUGCUUUUACGGACUUCCAAAUUCGCCAGUCAGUUUGGUCACAUGUUUGACUCAAAGAUUCUUUCAAGUCAAAUUAUUUUCGAUGAUGAAACGUCCAUCUCGAUAA